RNAcentral lists this ribosomal RNA (1368 nucleotides) under uncultured bacterium. RNAcentral describes it as "16S ribosomal RNA". It matches the Rfam family "Bacterial small subunit ribosomal RNA", at positions 33 to 1381 of the family's 1533-position model. The record is from RNAcentral.
ACGCUGGCGGCGUGCCUAAUACAUGCAAGUCGAGCGAACGGACGAGAAGCUUGCUUCUCUGAUGUUAGCGGCGGACGGGUGAGUAACACGUGGAUAACCUACCUAUAAGACUGGGAUAACUUCGGGAAACCGGAGCUAAUACCGGAUAAUAUUUUGAACCGCAUGGUUCAAAAGUGAAAGACGGUCUUGCUGUCACUUAUAGAUGGAUCCGCGCUGCAUUAGCUAGUUGGUAAGGUAACGGCUUACCAAGGCAACGAUGCAUAGCCGACCUGAGAGGGUGAUCGGCCACACUGGAACUGAGACACGGUCCAGACUCCUACGUGAGGCAGCAGUAGGGAAUCUUCCGCAAUGGGCGAAAGCCUGACGGAGCAACGCCGCGUGAGUGAUGAAGGUCUUCGGAUCGUAAAACUCUGUUAUUAGGGAAGAACAUAUGUGUAAGUAACUGUGCACAUCUUGACGGUACCUAAUCAGAAAGCCACGGCUAACUACGUGCCAGCAGCCGCGGUAAUACGUAGGUGGCAAGCGUUAUCCGGAAUUAUUGGGCGUAAAGCGCGCGUAGGCGGUUUUUUAAGUCUGAUGUGAAAGCCCACGGCUCAACCGUGGAGGGUCAUUGGAAACUGGAAAACUUGAGUGCAGAAGAGGAAAGUGGAAUUCCAUGUGUAGCGGUGAAAUGCGCAGAGAUAUGGAGGAACACCAGUGGGCGAAGGCGACUUUCUGGUCUGUAACUGACGCUGAUGUGCGAAAGCGUGGGGAUCAAACAGGAUUAGAUACCCUGGUAGUCCACGCCGUAAACGAUGAGUGCUAAGUGUUAGGGGGUUUCCGCCCCUUAGUGCUGCAGCUAACGCAUUAAGCACUCCGCCUGGGGAGUACGACCGCAAGGUUGAAACUCAAAGGAAUUGACGGGGACCCGCACAAGCGGUGGAGCAUGUGGUUUAAUUCGAAGCAACGCGAAGAACCUUACCAAAUCUUGACAUCCUUUGACAACUCUAGAGAUAGAGCCUUCCCCUUCGGGGGACAAAGUGACAGGUGGUGCAUGGUUGUCGUCAGCUCGUGUCGUGAGAUGUUGGGUUAAGUCCCGCAACGAGCGCAACCCUUAAGCUUAGUUGCCAUCAUUAAGUUGGGCACUCUAAGUUGACCGCCGGUGACAAACCGGAGGAAGGUGGGGAUGACGUCAAAUCAUCAUGCCCCUUAUGAUUUGGGCUACACACGUGCUACAAUGGACAAUACAAAGGGCAGCGAAACCGCGAGGUCAAGCAAAUCCCAUAAAGUUGUUCUCAGUUCGGAUUGUAGUCUGCAACUCGACUACAUGAAGCUGGAAUCGCUAGUAAUCGUAGAUCAGCAUGCUACGGUGAAUACGUUCCCGGGUCU